UACGUAGGGGGCAAGCGUUGUCCGGAAUCAUUGGGCGUAAAGCGCGUGUAGGCGGCUCGGUAAGUCCGCUCUGAAAGUCCAGGGCUCAACCCUGGGAUGCGGGUGGAUACUGCCGGGCUCGAGUCCGGAAGAGGCGAGUGGAAUUCCCGGUGUAGCGGUGAAAUGCGCAGAUAUCGGGAGGAACACCAAUGGCGAAGGCGGGUCUCUGGACAGUUCCUGACGCUGAGGCACGAAGGCCAGGGGAGCAAACGGG
Molecule: ribosomal RNA, 253 nt
Filed under: uncultured bacterium
Lineage: Bacteria
Description: partial 16S ribosomal RNA
Rfam family: Bacterial small subunit ribosomal RNA
Source: RNAcentral